GAUGAACGCUAGCGACAGGCUUAACACAUGCAAGUCGAGGGGCAGCAUAAAAGUAGCAAUACUUUGGUGGCGACCGGCGCACGGGUGAGUAACGCGUAUGCAACCUACCUAUCAGAGGGGGAUAACCCGGCGAAAGUCGGACUAAUACCGCAUAAAACAGGGGCACCGCAUGGUGCUAUUUGUUAAAAAUUUAUUGCUGAUAGAUGGGCAUGCGUUCCAUUAGGUAGUUGGAGAGGUAACGGCUCACCAAGCCUACGAUGGAUAGGGGAACUGAGAGGUUGGUCCCCCACACUGGUACUGAGACACGGACCAGACUCCUACGGGAGGCAGCAGUGAGGAAUAUUGGUCAAUGGGCGAGAGCCUGAACCAGCCAAGUCGCGUGAAGGAAGAAGGAUCUAUGGUUCGUAAACUUCUUUUGCAGGGGAAUAAAGUGCAGGACGUGUCCUGUUUUGUAUGUACCCUGAGAAUAAGGAUCGGCUAACUCCGUGCCAGCAGCCGCGGU
RNAcentral lists this ribosomal RNA (502 nucleotides) under uncultured bacterium. RNAcentral describes it as "bacterial SSU rRNA". It matches the Rfam family "Bacterial small subunit ribosomal RNA", at positions 28 to 521 of the family's 1533-position model. The record is from RNAcentral.